AAUAAAAUUCUUCAGUCGCUCCCCUUUCUGUAAAGUUGAAAAGCUCUUGACUAUGGGAUGCAUAUUCUGACUUCACUGUGUUCAGAGUCAGCCAACACAUCAAAGGGUGAGAAAACAGCAGGAUGAAGGCAAUGACAUAUGUGAUAUCUGCAUAAACCUUAACUUGCGAUUCUCUCACAAGUUGCUCUCCACACCCCUGGUCUAGUAACUUCUUCUUUCACUUGAACCCUCUUUACUUCAGGUUUUUACACCAUCCAGUGGUAAGGAAAAAUGAUUGUUACAAACUUUGGUCCAAAGAUACAUUGAAAAGGGAAAGGGAAAAAAAGCAUAGAUGCUCCCAAAUGAAACAAGUUUCAUCGAUGUCAGCGGUAAAGUGUGUCACUGGACUGGAAGGGCCACAAGCACAGAUCAUGAAGAUCUGCUCUGCCAUUGUUCACGGCCCCUUGAAACAACUUAAACCCACUAACAGGCAAGGUUAACAGAAUUAUUACAAAGGAAAUACUGCUCUCUCUUUUUCCAAAUCAACUUGGAGCACCAUCCAUACAACAGGAGAUACACCAAGCAGUACAUUUGGAUCAAUUUAUAUUUCAACUGAAGUUGUAGAUAAGCUAACACAGGCACACAGUUGUCAAGUCAUCUACCCAGGGUCAUCAGACUCCCAGAUACACUGCUGAAGGAUGAAGACGCAGGAGAAUGCUGACUAGGCAGAGGUGUUCAGAGUUGAAGGAUGACUUCAGAACUAUGAAAAUCAACUGGGAAAAAACCCAGAAUCAAUGCAGCAGAUACUUAUUUUACAUAACUGCAAUUACAGACUAACUCAAAGUCAAGCUAUGUUUGAGUUUUCUGUCAGUAUAAAAUGAAUGUGCUUCUCGGCUAAUCAUUUAAAAACCAUCUCUUGUGAGAAACAGUAGUGUAGGAAAGUAAUAAAUCAGAACAUUUGCUAGCUUGCAGUAUAAUUUCAAAGGUUGUAUUAUUUAUGUUGUAACAUAUAAACUAUCAAGUUAAAGUGUAAGUUGUAAUUUAGUAUAAAACGUGACUUUAAAAAAUCUAAGGACAAGGUAAUCUGAUUCUAAGUAUCAUUUCUAUUAAAAGUUUACAUUUGUAAGGCAUUAAUAACAGUGGAAAAUGAGACACUUCAAUAUAAAUUAUUGGCAUCUAAAAUUAAUGUGUAAAACAUAAAGGUUAUUGCCAGAGAGCCAAAAAUUCUACUGAAAUAAUAAAUCAUCAAAA
This is a long non-coding RNA of Talpa occidentalis (Iberian mole), 1230 nucleotides long. RefSeq lists it as uncharacterized. The record is from RefSeq and is a predicted model, not a curated record. Lineage: Eukaryota; Metazoa; Chordata; Mammalia; Eulipotyphla; Talpidae. The transcript has 3 exons.